This 518-nucleotide ribosomal RNA is filed under the name uncultured Clostridia bacterium. Its description in RNAcentral is "bacterial SSU rRNA". It matches the Rfam family "Bacterial small subunit ribosomal RNA", at positions 1 to 541 of the family's 1533-position model. The record is from RNAcentral. Lineage: Bacteria; Bacillati; Bacillota; Clostridia.
UAGAGUUUGAUCCUGGCUCAGGAUGAACGCUGGCGGCGUGCCUAACACAUGCAAGUCGAGCGGAGUUAGACCUUCGGGUAUAGCUUAGCGGCGGACGGGUGAGGAACACGUAGAUAACCUGCCUUUAACAUUGGAAUAACGUUCAGAAAUGGACGCUAAUGCCGAAUAAGCUCACGGGACAGCAUUGUUCUGCGAGAAAAGAUUUAUCGGUUAAAGAGGGGUCUGCGGCUGAUUAGCUAGUUGGCGGGGUAACGGCCCACCAAGGCGACGAUCAGUAGCCGGGAUGAGAGUCUGGACGGCCACAUUGGGACUGAGACACGGCCCAAACUCCUACGGGAGGCAGCAGUGGGGAAUAUUGCACAAUGGGCGAAAGCCUGAUGCAGCAACGCCGCGUGAAGGAUGACGGUCUUCGGAUUGUAAACUUCUAUCGACAGGGAAGAAAACAAUGACGGUACCUGAAUAAGAAGCACCGGCUAACUACGUGCCAGCAGCCGCGGUAAUACGUAGGGUGCAAGCGU